UACGAAGGGGGCUAGCGUUGCUCGGAAUGACUGGGCGUAAAGGGCGCGUAGGCGGAUGGCACAGUCAGAUGUGAAAUUCCUGGGCUUAACCUGGGGGCUGCAUUUGAUACGUGUGAUCUAGAGUGAGGAAGAGGGUUGUGGAAUUCCCAGUGUAGAGGUGAAAUUCGUAGAUAUUGGGAAGAACACCGGUGGCGAAGGCGGCUCACUGGCUCAUUUCUGACGCUCAGGCGCGACAGCGUGGGGAUCAAACAGG
RNAcentral lists this ribosomal RNA (253 nucleotides) under uncultured bacterium. RNAcentral describes it as "partial 16S ribosomal RNA". It matches the Rfam family "Bacterial small subunit ribosomal RNA", at positions 524 to 776 of the family's 1533-position model. The record is from RNAcentral.